Molecule: small nuclear RNA, 21 nt
Filed under: Arabidopsis thaliana (thale cress)
Lineage: Eukaryota; Viridiplantae; Streptophyta; Magnoliopsida; Brassicales; Brassicaceae
Description: snRNA_14991
Source: RNAcentral
ACAAGUACCGCGAGGUAAAGA